AGGGUUCGAUUCUGGCUCAGGAUGAACGCUGGCGGCGUGCCUAACACAUGCAAGUCGAGCGGAGAUAUUGAGGGAUCUUUAGAUGAUCUCCUUAUCUUAGCGGCGGAUGGGUGAGUAACACGUGGGUAACCUGCCCUGCACAGGGGGAUAACAGCUGGAAACGGCUGUUAAUACCGCAUAUGCACACGCUGCCGCAUGGCAGAGGGUGGAAAGAUUUAUCGGUGCAGGAUGGGCCCGCGUCGGAUUAACUAGUUGGCAGGGUAACGGCCUACCAAGGUUAUGAUCCGUAGCCGACCUGAGAGGGUGACCGGCCACAUUGGGACUGAGACACGGCCCAAACUCCUACGGGAGGCAGCAGUGGGGGAUAUUGCACAAUGGGCGGAAGCCUGAUGCAGCGACGCCGCGUGAAGGAAGAAGUAUUUCGGUAUGUAAACUUCUAUCAGCGGGGAAGAAGAUGACGGUACCCGACUAAGAAGCCCCGGCUAACUACGUGCCAGCCGCCGC
RNAcentral lists this ribosomal RNA (504 nucleotides) under uncultured bacterium. Its description in RNAcentral is "bacterial SSU rRNA". It matches the Rfam family "Bacterial small subunit ribosomal RNA", at positions 8 to 518 of the family's 1533-position model. The record is from RNAcentral.